GCUCAAUAGCUCAACCAGUAGAGCAUGAGACUCCUAAUCUCAGGGUGGUGGGUUCAAACCACACCAUAGGCA
Molecule: non-coding RNA, 72 nt
Organism: Podarcis lilfordi (Lilford's wall lizard)
Lineage: Eukaryota; Metazoa; Chordata; Lepidosauria; Squamata; Lacertidae
Source: the annotation of a GenBank genome assembly